Molecule: ribosomal RNA, 482 nt
Filed under: uncultured bacterium
Lineage: Bacteria
Description: partial 16S ribosomal RNA
Rfam family: Bacterial small subunit ribosomal RNA
Source: RNAcentral
AUUGAACGCUGGCGGCAUGCCUUACACAUGCAAGUCGAACGGUAACGGGCCUUCGGGUGCCGACGAGUGGCGAACGGGUGAGUAAUACAUCGGAACGUGCCCGAUCGUGGGGGAUAACGAGGCGAAAGCUUUGCUAAUACCGCAUACGAUCUACGGAUGAAAGCAGGGGACCGCAAGGCCCUGCGCGGACGGAGCGGCCGAUGGCAGAUUGGGUAGUUGGUGGGAUAAAAGCUUACCAAGCCGACGAUCUGUAGCUGGUCUGAGAGGAUGAUCAGCCACACUGGGACUGAGACACGGCCCAGACUCCUACGGGAGGCAGCAGUGGGGAAUUUUGGACAAUGGGCGCAAGCCUGAUCCAGCCAUGCCGCGUGCAGGAUGAAGGCCUUCGGGUUGUAAACUGCUUUUGUACGGAACGAAAAGCCUUCUUUUAAUACAGGAGGGUCAUGACGGUACCGUAAGAAUAAGCACCGGCUAACUACGUG